Molecule: long non-coding RNA, 349 nt
Organism: Helicoverpa zea (corn earworm)
Lineage: Eukaryota; Metazoa; Arthropoda; Insecta; Lepidoptera; Noctuidae
Exons: 3
Source: RefSeq, a predicted model, not a curated record
AAAAAUUGGUCUAUUUAAAAGUAAAACAAUAUUUUAAAAUAAUUUUUGUUUGCAAUGCAAAAAUCAAUAUAAAUCUUGUGACGCGCGGUGUUCAACUUUAGUCAGCGCCAAGCGCUUACCGAGGAAGGACGUAUCGCUCGCUGUUGCGCCGCGUAAACUCGCCGGAGGUCGAAAAAUAUAGCGCAACCUGCGCAACUAACACGUUUUGAUACUAGAUAAUGAAAGCAUAUUUAAUUCAGACUAUCAGACUCAAUUGAAUACCAGUACAAAUAAUAUGAUCAACUUACGGCGCAGCCUGAGGGGGCGAAGUCUUCUGUCUGGGAGGAGAUCUGACGAGUGUGGGCGGCUU